CGCCCCACCACACUCCUCGGACCUCCAGUCCCCACCCCUCAAGCCACACAGGCUCCGUGGCUUGCAGUUCACAAGGUCUGAGGAGUUCUGUCAGAGCAGUGGAUGGGAAGUCACACACAUCCAAAGCCUGAAGUGGUUGCACUUUAUAUGCUGUGCAAUUCCUUUCCUCUGGAAAAAGACUUUGCUUUUAAAUGUUGAAAAAUAAAAAUCAUAGGGCAGCCUGUGUGCAGAGGGGAGACUACCCCGUUCUUCAC
Molecule: long non-coding RNA, 254 nt
Filed under: Fukomys damarensis (Damara mole-rat)
Lineage: Eukaryota; Metazoa; Chordata; Mammalia; Rodentia; Bathyergidae
Description: lncRNA (ENSFDAG00000030902.1)
Source: RNAcentral